RNAcentral lists this unclassified non-coding RNA (306 nucleotides) under plant metagenome. Its description in RNAcentral is "partial contains 5.8S ribosomal RNA, internal transcribed spacer 2, and large subunit ribosomal RNA". The stretch from base 1 to 104 matches the Rfam family "5.8S ribosomal RNA", at positions 51 to 154 of the family's 154-position model. The record is from RNAcentral.
AAAUGCGAUAAGUAAUGUGAAUUGCAGAAUUCAGUGAAUCAUCGAAUCUUUGAACGCACAUUGCGCCCGCCAGCACUCUGGCGGGCAUGCCUGUUCGAGCGUCAUUUCAACCCUCAGAACCCCUUGCGGGAUCUGGCGUUGGGGAUUGGCAUCCAGCCAGCCCCGAAAUCUAGCGGCGGUCCCUCCGCGACCUCCCCUGUGCAGUAGCGAUACCUCGCAGCGGGACAGCGGUCUGACCACGCCGUAAAACCCCCAACUUCUCAAGGUUGACCUCGAAUCAGGUAGUAAUGCCCGCUGAACUUAAUC